GAACGCUGGCGGCGUGCCUAAUACAUGCAAGUCGAGCGGASUUGAUGRGGNGCUUGCWNUYCUGAKRSUUAGCGGCGGACGGGUGAGUAACACGUAGGCAACCUGCCCUCAAGACUGGGAUAACUACCGGAAACGGUAGCUAAUACCGGAUAAUUAAAUUCGCUGCAUGGCGGAKUUAUGAAAGGYGGAGCAAUCUGUCACUUGAGGAUGGGCCUGCGGCGCAUUAGCUAGUUGGUGAGGUAACGGCUCACCAAGGCGACGAUGCGUAGCCGACCUGAGAGGGUGAACGGCCACACUGGGACUGAGACACGGCCCAGACUCCUACGGGAGGCAGCAGUAGGGAAUCUUCCGCAAUGGGCGAAAGCCUGACGGAGCAACGCCGCGUGAGUGAUGAAGGUUUUCGGAUCGUAAAGCUCUGUUGCCAGGGAAGAACGUCUCAUAGAGUAACUGCUAUGAGAGU
RNAcentral lists this ribosomal RNA (460 nucleotides) under Paenibacillus sp. R-27333. Its description in RNAcentral is "partial 16S ribosomal RNA". It matches the Rfam family "Bacterial small subunit ribosomal RNA", at positions 31 to 476 of the family's 1533-position model. The record is from RNAcentral. Lineage: Bacteria; Bacillati; Bacillota; Bacilli; Caryophanales; Paenibacillaceae.